This 334-nucleotide unclassified non-coding RNA is filed under the name soil metagenome. Its description in RNAcentral is "partial contains 5.8S ribosomal RNA, internal transcribed spacer 2, and large subunit ribosomal RNA". The stretch from base 1 to 120 matches the Rfam family "5.8S ribosomal RNA", at positions 35 to 154 of the family's 154-position model. The record is from RNAcentral.
GAUGAAGAACGCAGCGAAAUGCGAUAAGUAAUGUGAAUUGCAGAAUUCAGUGAAUCAUCGAAUCUUUGAACGCACAUUGCGCCCGCCAGUAUUCUGGCGAGCAUGCCUGUUCGAGCGUCAUUUCAACCAUCAAGCCCCAGGCUUGUGUUGGAGCCCUGCGGCUGCCGCAGCCUCCCAAAACCAGUGGCGGGCUCGCUAUCACACCGAGUGCAGUAGUUUACUCUUCGCUCAGGGCGUGUGGCGGGUGCUAGCCGUGAAACCCCCAACUUCUCAAGGUUGACCUCGGAUCAGGUAGGAAUUCCCGCUGAACUUAAGCAUAUCAAUAAGCGGAGGA